AUUGGUUCUUGACCUUUUGGCUAAGAUCAAGUGCAGUGUCUGUUCUGAUCAGCUUAAAGUCCAUUCACGAACCCCGAGUUCAGAAUAACUGCUCUAGACCUGUUCUAGAAGUAAGGCAUCUGGUUUUCUUCUUUGUUGCCUUCUGAACGGUAAAUUGUAUGUUUCAAUAACGCUACUUUCAUUUUAGAAAUACAUAUAUUU
This is a non-coding RNA of Equus caballus (horse), 201 nucleotides long. The record is from Rfam. Lineage: Eukaryota; Metazoa; Chordata; Mammalia; Perissodactyla; Equidae.